Long non-coding RNA from Cuculus canorus (common cuckoo), 874 nucleotides. RefSeq lists it as uncharacterized. The record is from RefSeq and is a predicted model, not a curated record. Lineage: Eukaryota; Metazoa; Chordata; Aves; Cuculiformes; Cuculidae. The transcript is spliced from 3 exons.
UUGGGUCAUAGAUUUUUCUGACGAUUGUGUGGGGAAGGUCCCCUUGCCAGCUCUGCUGUUGACCAGACCAGUUUGUUCCAGGUUUAGUGAAGUAAUGUAAACUUAUGUUAUCAAAAUCACUAUUUGCCACUGUUCCUGUUUAUUCCCUCUCAGAGCGACCUCCUAAAAAGAAGAUGAUUCAGCACAAGGUGAAGAGCUUCUUGAGUCUUCCAGAAGAGCGAGAAUUUCAUCCUCAAAUGGAAGCCUGGUGCUUGCAGGAGUGGGAAGCAGCGCCUUCAGUCCCUUGCAGGGACAGUCUAGGAGUGACCCUGUGCUGUCCUGCCCAAGUCUCCAAGGAAUCUGGAGUGGAAGAAACUGAUGUCAUAAGCUUCGGUGGACAAAGCUAAACAGGAAGAGAUGACAAGAGUUUAUAACUAUGGACUGGAAAACCACUGCCUGGGUGUCGCAGUGGUGUGCUGGUUCAUCUUUAUUAAAUAAGCUGCAAAUCAUUUCAGCAAAUAAAAUCCUUUAAAAUCUGGAAUCAGCCACUUUCAUCAAUACUUUUGCCUCUAUAAAUGUUAUAUUGUUUACUGUAGUGUUAAGUUGCAUUACUCUGUUAAUCUGUUUUAAAAUAAUUUAAUAAACAUACAAGGUCAAACGUGGGAAUUGUUUGGUAAAUAUAACACAAACACAUGGUAAAUCAUUUGACUGCUGAUAAAGUUUGGUUUCACUGUUUGCCUUUGAAACAGAACUGAUGAGAGGGCGUUCUACUUGGGAGGAUAUUCCAGGAUAUUUACUGAGGUCAAUUAUAAGAAUUAUUAAUGGUUUUCAGAUUUCUGCCAGAAUAGGCCCACAACUGGUACAGAGUAGCUUAAUUCUGUUAUGGAAAAAAAUG